Molecule: transfer RNA, 71 nt
Filed under: Parcubacteria group bacterium
Lineage: Bacteria
Description: tRNA-Trp
Rfam family: tRNA
About the family: Transfer RNA (tRNA) molecules are approximately 80 nucleotides in length. Their secondary structure includes four short double-helical elements and three loops (D, anti-codon, and T loops). Further hydrogen bonds mediate the characteristic L-shaped molecular structure. tRNAs have two regions of fundamental functional importance: the anti-codon, which is responsible for specific mRNA codon recognition, and the 3' end, to which the tRNAs corresponding amino acid is attached (by aminoacyl-tRNA synthetases). tRNAs cope with the degeneracy of the genetic code in two manners: having more than one tRNA (with a specific anti-codon) for a particular amino acid; and 'wobble' base-pairing, i.e. permitting non-standard base-pairing at the 3rd anti-codon position.
Source: RNAcentral
GGGGGCGUAAUUUAAUGGUAGAAUAGCGGUCUCCAAAACCGCUAAUGGGAGUUCGAUUCUCUCCGCCCCUG